AGGGGUAUAGUUCAAAGGUAGAACAAUGGUCUCCAAAACCAUCGGUCCGGGUUCGAUUCCUGGUGCCCCUGCCA
Molecule: transfer RNA, 74 nt
Filed under: Bacillus cereus
Lineage: Bacteria; Bacillati; Bacillota; Bacilli; Caryophanales; Bacillaceae
Also listed under: 1 other name
Description: tRNA-Trp
Rfam family: tRNA
About the family: Transfer RNA (tRNA) molecules are approximately 80 nucleotides in length. Their secondary structure includes four short double-helical elements and three loops (D, anti-codon, and T loops).
Source: RNAcentral